Molecule: ribosomal RNA, 253 nt
Filed under: uncultured bacterium
Lineage: Bacteria
Description: partial 16S ribosomal RNA
Rfam family: Bacterial small subunit ribosomal RNA
Source: RNAcentral
UACGGAGGGAGCUAGCGUUGUUCGGAAUUACUGGGCGUAAAGCGCGCGUAGGCGGCGUGGUAAGUCAGAUGUGAAAUCCCGGGGCUCAACCCCGGAACUGCAUCCGAUACUGCCGUGCUUGAGGGUUGGAGAGGUAGCUGGAAUUCUCGGUGUAGCAGUGAAAUGCGUGGAUAUCGAGAGGAACACUUGUGGCGAAGGCGAGUCCCUGGACAACUUCUGACGCUGAGGCACGAAAGCUAGGGGAGCAAACAGG